CCCCGGCCCCGACUCGACCCCGACCGGACUCGACCCGACCCAGACUCGACCUCCGACCCGACCGCGCCGACCCGACCCCGACCCCGGCGACUGGCGGCCCCCGGGACGCAUCGCAGUCGGUCGGUCCGCGCAGAAAACGGUGCUGGAUCCGCGAACCGCGAUUGCGGACCUGGAAGCGCGAGCCCCGCGGCUCCUCCGUCCGUCCGUCUGUCCCGGACCCUGGGCUCCCGCCGGCCGCGAACUCUGGGUUCGGCGGGGAUCGGCCCAGGGGCGGGAGAAGCCACCCGUGUGGACCGAGGCCAGACCGUCGGGCCGGCAGGUGCUGGGCCCCGAGCUGGCGCUGAGCUGGUGCAGACGCAGGGAGAGGACACAGGAGAAGGUGAGGCCCGAGUGGGUCACUUGGAACCGGUGUGGGCAGAGUGUGGUGCAUCGGUGAGGGACGUCUGCGUGUGGACCAGAAGGGAGGCCCAGGGCAGCCGCGGCCCGGGGCUGCAGGAGGGGACGGUGUGCGGCUGGACGCCCUGGCCCGGGCUGUGGGCCCAGCAGCCUGACUGCUCCUCAGAACCCUCAGCCGCUGGACUUGCUGCACGCACCCUGGCCCCCAGCCACCGACACCGGCCACCGAGCACACGGAGCUACAGAGUGGGUUCCUGGCCGCCUGGCAACCCCAGGGUGGCCCCUGCCGCCUCCAAAGCUCCCCGUGAGGUCGGGCCAAACUCCGUGCCCUCCCCUGUGGGACUUUGCCUGCUAUCGCAUUCUUGCCGCGCCUCCCGCUCCCCUUCCAGUGCUCCUUCCUAGGAACACGGUCUAAUCAGACCAGCUAUGUGAUUGGCAGGGCCCCACGCAAGGUAAAGAAGAGUGUUCGUGGCUUAUAGGAACUUCAAAGUGGCAACAGCAGGUGUUAGACCGAGUCCGGGGUCCUGUGUUUCUGCACAGAUGUGCUUGACUCUGCGGAUGGCGCAUCGGCGGAGCUGGUCUGGAUGCUAAUAAAAUGCUUUUCACCUGAGUCCUCACCUAGGUCUGCUUCUGGGGACUCCCCCGCUAAGAUAACAGCUGUCAAAGUAAAACAUCCGCCGUCGGGUACUAGCACAGUCAUCUUACAGGUACUCUAGUCGGCCUCCCGGGGCUUGGGAGGGGGCGGCUCCAGGAAAGGCGGCUGUAACCAGAGCUCCAGCCAGCACAGGAGGGAAAGCAGGUGAGGGUGGCUUAGGUUAGUAGGAUGACGGGGCAGGAAGUCUGGGUUUAGCCCCAUUCGGAGCCAUAAGCACAGUGUUAAUCUGGGUGGGAUUUCAGAUGGAGUUACCUAGAAACACCUUACUUGAAGUUUAAUUGGCAAGUGGUUAAAAGGUUACACCUCACUUGUAAGGAAGUGGGGUUGGCAGGCCUGGGCAGAGGGAGAAGCUCCUCUCAGUGUGGUCACAGCUGGGCCUGGAGUGGGUGGCUCUUCAGAACUAAGCAGAUGCAGCUCACGACGCCCGGGGGGCUCAGCGGGGCAGCCUCCGCCUUCAGCCCAAGGCAUGACCCUGGGGUCCCAGGAUCCGGAUCGAGUCCUGCAUCGGGCUCCCCGCAGGGAGCCUGCUUCUCCCUCUGCCUGUCUCUGCCUCUCUCUCUCUCUCUCUCUCUCUCUCUCUGUGUGUCUCAGGAAUAAAUAAAUAAUAAUCUUAAAAAAAAAAAAAACUAGAUUGAGUCCCCUUCGUAGUCUUCUCUACACCCUGCACCUGGAGAAAGGUGUAGCCAUAGGCAAAGCAGUUCCCUGAGGGCGACGCCCCGGAGGACACGGCUGGGAACGGUCAGGCACGGAUGCGUCAGCGCUGAGCAGAGGAUCUAGGAGACACCGCACGAGAUCUCUCUCGGCAGAUGAUCCCUGAGAUCUCACUCGUUCUUACAGUUGGUCACGACAGGAAAACACAGCCCAGGAGGGCUGGCCCCUGGGUCUUCUGUGUAGCACCUGGACAAUAUUUUAUUGCAUUUAACCCUUCUCAUACUAUAAGGUUAUUUAAUUUCCUAUUUUUUUCCUUCAGGCUUUUAAUUUUUAGUUUUUAAAAAGAUUUAUUUAUUUAUUAUUAUUAUUUAUUUAUUAUUUUACAAAGAGAGAGUGCAGGGGGGAGAGACAGAGGGAGAUGGAGAGAGAAACUCAUGCUGAGUGCAGAGACUGUCCACCUCCGGAGCCUGAGAAAUCAAGAGUCGGUGGCUUCACCGACCGACUGAGCCAGCCAGGCGCUCCUCCUUCCACUCUUUUUUCCUCCCUUUUCUAUGUGUUCUGGCCCAAUUAUUUCCUAGCCCUCCAAUGGCACUGGAGACAAAUAAAUCCAAAUAAAUAAAGCAAUUGCCCAAGAGUAGCAGUGUAGUGAGGUACACAUGAUGGGAUGGAGCCUCUGGGAUCAAGUCCUGAGUUUGCCACUGACAAACUGUGAAUUUGGGGCUCUUAACCCUACUGGGCAUUUACUUGUCUUUAAAAUAGAUUAUAAGAGGGUGGUCUCUAAUGUCCCCAUUUUUUUAAAUAUUUUAUUUAUUUAUUCAUGAGAGAGGCAGAGACACAGGCAGAGGGAGAAGCAGGGGAGCCCGAUGUGGGACUCGAUCCCGGGACCCCGGGGUCACAACCUGGGCCGAAGGCAGAUGCUCCGCCACUGAGCCACCCGGGCAUCCCCUAAUGUCCCACUUUUAAAAGAGAUGGUUUUCUCAUGGGGCACCUGAGUGGCACAGUCCACUGUUAACUCAGUCUUGGUUUCCCUGAGGGUCAAGAUCUCAGGGUCCUGGGGUCCAGCGGCCUUGAGCUCCUGCUCAGUGCACAGUCUGCUUGUCCUUCUCCCUCCUCUAGUCCCCCUCCCCCAGAUACACACCUGUUGGCACUGGGUGAACUUUCUCCCUCAAACAAAUAAAACGUUUAAAAAAAAGGUUUUCUCUGCUAUAUAAUCCCUCAUGAAUCAAACAAGAGAACUUCUUAAAACUCAGAACUGAUUUUUAGAGUUAGUUGCAGUUCAUAUGUGAGGUGCUACCCAGCAAGAACACCCUAAGUCCCGCAGCCGUCAGAAAGAGUUGGGUGAAACGGGAUUCUAAUAGAUGGGGCCGAUGGGGGCGGUGAGGUCCCCGCAGACUUGGGAACGAUUCUUCCGGAAUAUCAGACUUGCUUCCUAAGGAUUUUGCCCGUCCUGUUGCGCGCGGCCACACUCUGCCUGAACCUGCCCCAAAAGUCUCGGAGAGCUCCCUCCUUUUGGAUAGGCUGCCUGGGUAAGUGCCUCACAAACUGGUUUUUCU
Molecule: long non-coding RNA, 3255 nt
Filed under: Canis lupus familiaris (dog)
Lineage: Eukaryota; Metazoa; Chordata; Mammalia; Carnivora; Canidae
Description: lncRNA (ENSCAFG00000059468.1)
Source: RNAcentral